This 68-nucleotide transfer RNA is filed under the name marine eukaryotic metagenome. It matches the Rfam family "tRNA". From Rfam's summary of the family: Transfer RNA (tRNA) molecules are approximately 80 nucleotides in length. Their secondary structure includes four short double-helical elements and three loops (D, anti-codon, and T loops). The record is from RNAcentral.
GCCUGUAGCUCAGCGGUUAGAGCGUCCGGCUCAUAACCGGGUGGUCGGUGGUUCGAAUCCACCCGGGC